UGCUUACCCUGGGCCCACUCUUCUCUCCCAUCUUCUUUUGUCCUCUGGAAGAUACUGGCUGUUGCCUUUCUGCCAGCUAUUCCGUUCCUCUUCUCUGCUUGAAAAAACUUCUCACAUGGGAGCGAUCAACGUGUAGAUGAUGGGCGAAGAAGCUGUGAGGGUUGACAGGAUUAUUCAGGGAACAGAGGGCCCUGCUUCAGAACCUUAAGGAUGAGCUUCCAUUGAGAGCAGUUGGUAGAUGAGGAGUUGGUAGAUGAAUCUGCAAAGAGGUGGCCUGAGAUGGAGGUGGAGAACCAAAAGUGGUCCAGUGGAGGCCAAGGAGACCAAAGUCUGGAUCAGGACAUGGAAGAAACAACCCAGGUUAUAUAUUCUCAUCUAAGUUGGACAUUGAUUUGUAAAUGACGAAUUAGGCUAUUGUUAAUAAGCAGAGGAAGGGGAAAUAAAAGAUUGUCUGAGGAAGGAUCCUGAGAGUUAAGGAAGAACGUGGAAACGUGAAGGCACAGAGGAGAAUGCCAUGGAUAGAGGAAACUGGCAAGCUAUGUCCCAUGGGGUCACAAAGAGUUGGACACAACGGAGCGAUGAACACAGCAACUUAUGUACAUGCACAAAGGUGCCAUCUUCUCAAAAAGGAUUUUCUGCCUGGCCCAGAAUUUUUGACACCGUUUGCCAGCCCUCGUGAACACUUCUGCCUGGCUUAACCACACAAAACUCUGCUUGCAUUGUUAGUGCGUCAUGGAUGUGUUUGUGGCUAGCUGUCUUCACGAGAUUAACCAGACUGCAAGCUUCCUGAGAACAAGUGACCUGCCUUCCUCAUUUCUGCAUACCCAGAAGCAGGUAGCACGGGACUGUGAACUAAAUUUUUAAUGAAGGAUCAUUAGUUUGCUUUUAGUCUUGGGGUGGAGUGAAUAAUAUUUCUUAAGAGAUAGAAAAACUAUUUGCAACAUAACGGUAAAAGAUGAAUGAUGUUAAUAUAUUAAAAUCAGCCUCUAAAAAUCAAUAACACAGGACAAGAGACCCAAUAGGGAAGUCAGCAAUGAAAACUAACAGCAAAUUCACUGAAUAGCCCAUACUUAUGAAAAAGGUCAACUUUACUAGUUAUCGAGGAAAUACAAAUUAGGACAAUGUGAUUCUAAUUUUUGCUUAUCAAACUGGGAAUAUUUAAAAAUGAAUUCUUCAGUGUUGGUAGGAACGUGGUGAAACAGCUAGUCAUUUGCUACAGAAGGGACUGUGCAUGGAUACAGCCUUCCUGGAGAGGAAGCUGGCAAUUUUUUAAAAGAGGCUGAAAAAUGUCCAUGCUUUAAAAGUCUGUAAUUCUGCUUCUAGAGUUUUAUUCUAAGAAUGUAACCAGAGCUGUGCACAUAGAUUAGGUAUAAGGAUG
This is a non-coding RNA of Odocoileus virginianus texanus, 1378 nucleotides long. The record is from RefSeq and is a predicted model, not a curated record. Lineage: Eukaryota; Metazoa; Chordata; Mammalia; Artiodactyla; Cervidae.